This 449-nucleotide ribosomal RNA is filed under the name uncultured Archaeoglobales archaeon. RNAcentral describes it as "bacterial SSU rRNA". It matches the Rfam family "Archaeal small subunit ribosomal RNA", at positions 860 to 1306 of the family's 1478-position model. The record is from RNAcentral. Lineage: Archaea; Methanobacteriati; Methanobacteriota; Archaeoglobi; Archaeoglobales.
AGGAAUUGGCGGGGGAGCACUACAACGGGUGGAGCCUGCGGUUUAAUUGGAUUCAACGCCGGGAAGCUUACCGGGGGAGACAGCGGGAUGAAGGUCGGGCUGAAGACCUUACCAGACUAGCUGAGAGGUGGUGCAUGGCCGCCGUCAGUUCGUACUGUGAAGCAUCCUCUUAAGUCAGGCAACGAGCGAGACCCGCGCCCCCACUUGCCAGCGGUUCCCUUCGGGGAAGCCGGGCACACUGGGGGGACUGCCGGCGNUAAGCCGGAGGAAGGUGCGGGCAACGGCAGGUCCGUAUGCCCCGAAUCCCCCGGGCUACACGCGGGCUACAAUGGCCGGGACAAUGGGUACCGACCCCGAAAGGGGUAGGUAAUCCCCUAAACCCGGUCUCACUUGGGAUNGAGGGCUGCAACUCGCCCUCGUGAACCUGGAAUCCGUAGUAAUCGCGCCUC